Molecule: transfer RNA, 73 nt
Filed under: Camelus bactrianus (Bactrian camel)
Lineage: Eukaryota; Metazoa; Chordata; Mammalia; Artiodactyla; Camelidae
Also listed under: 1 other name
Rfam family: tRNA
About the family: Transfer RNA (tRNA) molecules are approximately 80 nucleotides in length.
Source: Rfam by way of RNAcentral
GAGGGUAUAGCUCAAGUGGUAGAGCGUAUGCUUAGCAUGCCCAAGGUCCUGAGUUCAAUCCCCAGUGCCUCCU